UCCCCGGUAGCUCAGCGGUAGAGCAUUCGGCUGUUAACCGAACGGUCCGCGGUUCGAAUCCGUGCCGGGGAGCCA
RNAcentral lists this transfer RNA (75 nucleotides) under Rhodospirillaceae bacterium. RNAcentral describes it as "tRNA-Asn". It matches the Rfam family "tRNA". From Rfam's summary of the family: Transfer RNA (tRNA) molecules are approximately 80 nucleotides in length. Their secondary structure includes four short double-helical elements and three loops (D, anti-codon, and T loops). Lineage: Bacteria; Pseudomonadati; Pseudomonadota; Alphaproteobacteria; Rhodospirillales; Rhodospirillaceae. RNAcentral also lists the same sequence under 1 other name. The record is from RNAcentral.